Long non-coding RNA from Bombina bombina (fire-bellied toad), 452 nucleotides. RefSeq lists it as uncharacterized. NCBI's taxonomy places the organism in Eukaryota, Metazoa, Chordata, Amphibia, Anura, Bombinatoridae. The record is from RefSeq and is a predicted model, not a curated record. The transcript has 2 exons.
AGGUCUGAAGCAAUACCAGGGGAAGAAAGGAAAACUCUUGAAAGCUUGUCUUUUAAGGAUUAGAGUCGCCACUGACCGAGAGCUUACAAAGAAGCUAAGAGAGGUCCUUCAGAGGCCAAGAGAGGUUACACAGAUGUAGCACAGAGCUGCAGAGGGACAUCGCAGCAUAGUUAAGUGCAAGUGUCCAAAACCAGUUACAGAUUAUGCAAAUUCUGUCUGAUAUGCAGAUGGACAAUAGAUGGAGAGAAAAAAAAUCAACUUUUGGGAGUGUUGGUUGAGCACUUUAAACACCAGCAGGACACUGCCUCCAGCAUAUCAUCUGUCACCAGCACACGAGCAGAAACACCAGGAUCAGCUAGAACAAGGAGAACAAGGCAAUCCACUACAGGCACCUCAGCUCCCUCAUCCAAAAAGCCAAAGAAAAAAUAAAUAUUAUUAUAGUUUACCAUGAA